This 462-nucleotide ribosomal RNA is filed under the name uncultured bacterium. Its description in RNAcentral is "partial 16S ribosomal RNA". It matches the Rfam family "Bacterial small subunit ribosomal RNA", at positions 28 to 507 of the family's 1533-position model. The record is from RNAcentral.
GACGAACGCUGGCGGCGUGCUUAACACAUGCAAGUCGAGCGGUAAGGCCUUUCGGGGUACACGAGCGGUGAACGGGUGAGUAACACGUGGGUGAUCUGCCCUGCACUUCGGGAUAAGCCUGGGAAACUGGGUCUAAUACCGGAUAUGACCUCCUAUCGCAUGGUGGGUGGUGGAAAGAUUUAUCGGUGCAGGAUGGGCCCGCGGCCUAUCAGCUUGUUGGUGGGGUAAUGGCCUACCAAGGCGACGACGGGUAGCCGACCUGAGAGGGUGACCGGCCACGCUGGGACUGAGACACGGCCCAGACUCCUACGGGAGGCAGCAGUGGGGAAUAUUGCACAAUGGGCGAAAGCCUGAUGCAGCGACGCCGCGUGAGGGAUGACGGCCUUCGGGUUGUAAACCUCUUUCAGCAGGGACGAAGCGCAAGUGACGGCACCUGCAGAAGAAGCACCGGCUAACUACGUG